GCCCUCGUGGCCUAAGGGGAUAAGGCAUCGGUCUCCUAAACCGGGGAUUCCGGGUUCGAAUCCCGUCGAGGGUA
Ixodes scapularis (black-legged tick) is the source of this 74-nucleotide non-coding RNA. The record is from Rfam. Lineage: Eukaryota; Metazoa; Arthropoda; Arachnida; Ixodida; Ixodidae.